Molecule: ribosomal RNA, 478 nt
Filed under: Henonemus punctatus
Lineage: Eukaryota; Metazoa; Chordata; Actinopteri; Siluriformes; Trichomycteridae
Description: partial 16S ribosomal RNA
Rfam family: Bacterial large subunit ribosomal RNA
Source: RNAcentral
GUUAAACGGCCGCGGUAUUUUGACCGUGCAAAGGUAGCGCAAUCACUUGUCUUUUAAAUGAAGACCUGUAUGAAUGGUUAAACGAGGGCUUAACUGUCUCCCCCUUCAGGUCAAUGAAAUUGAUCUCUCCGUGCAGAAGCGGACAUAUAAAUACAAGACGAGAAGACCCUUUGGAGCUUAAGAUACAAGAUCACCUAUGUCAAGAGACAAAAAACUAAACCAAAUAGAAUAUUGAUCCUUAUCUUCGGUUGGGGCGACCACGGGAGACAAUAAAGCUCCCACGCGGACUGGGGAAAAAUACCCUAAAACUAAGAGAGACAUCUCUAAGUCACAGAACAUCUGACCAAAAGAUCCGGCCACAAUGCCGAUCAACGGACCAAGUUACCCUAGGGAUAACAGCGCAAUCCUCUUUAAGAGUUCAUAUCGACAAGGGGGUUUACGACCUCGAUGUUGGAUCAGGACAUCCUAAUGGUGCAGC